GAUGAACGCUGGCGGCGUGCUUAACACAUGCAAGUCGAACGGAAAGGCUCCUGCUUGCAGGGGUACUCGAGUGGCGAACGGGUGAGUAACACGUGGGUGAUCUGCCCUGCACUUCGGGAUAAGCCUGGGAAACUGGGUCUAAUACCGGAUAGGACGAUGGUUUGGAUGCCAUUGUUGAAAGUUUUUCGGUGUGGGAUGAGCUCGCGGCCUAUCAGCUUGUUGGUGGGGUAAUGGCCUACCAAGGCGUCGACGGGUAGCCGGCCUGAGAGGGUGUACGGCCACAUUGGGACUGAGAUACGGCCCAGACUCCUACGGGAGGCAGCAGGGGGGAAUAUUGCACAAUGGGCGCAAGCCUGAUGCAGCGACGCCGCGUGGGGGAUGACGGCCUUCGGGUUGUAAACUCCUUUCGCUAGGGACGAAGCGUUUUGUGACGGUACCUGGAGAAGAAGCACCGGCUAACUACGUG
RNAcentral lists this ribosomal RNA (466 nucleotides) under uncultured bacterium. RNAcentral describes it as "partial 16S ribosomal RNA". It matches the Rfam family "Bacterial small subunit ribosomal RNA", at positions 28 to 507 of the family's 1533-position model. The record is from RNAcentral.